RNAcentral lists this ribosomal RNA (253 nucleotides) under uncultured bacterium. RNAcentral's name for it is "partial 16S ribosomal RNA". It matches the Rfam family "Bacterial small subunit ribosomal RNA", at positions 524 to 776 of the family's 1533-position model. The record is from RNAcentral.
UACGAGGGGGGCAAAUGUUGUUCGGAAUCACUGGGCGUAAAGGGAGCGUAGGCGGGUUUCUAAGUCAGGUGUUUAAUCCCGGGGCCCAACCCCGGACAGGCACUUGAAACUGGGAAUCUUGAAUAGUGGAGAGGUCAGUGGAAUUGGGGGUGUAGCGGUGGAAUGCGCAGAUAUCAGGAGGAACACCGGUGGCGAAGGCGGUUCUCUGGGCAUUACCUGACGCUGAGGUGCGAAAGCGUGGGGAGCAAACAGG